This 1669-nucleotide ribosomal RNA is filed under the name Listeria monocytogenes. Its description in RNAcentral is "partial 23S ribosomal RNA". It matches the Rfam family "Bacterial large subunit ribosomal RNA", at positions 197 to 1859 of the family's 2925-position model. Lineage: Bacteria; Bacillati; Bacillota; Bacilli; Caryophanales; Listeriaceae. The record is from RNAcentral.
AACAUCUAAGUACCUGGAGGAAGAGAAAGAAAAAUCGAUUUCCUGAGUAGCGGCGAGCGAAACGGAAAGAGCCCAAACCAAGAAGCUUGCUUCUUGGGGUUGUAGGACACUCUAUACGGAGUUACAAAAGAAAGUUAUAAAUGAAGCGGUCUGGAAAGGCCCGCCAAAGACGGUAACAGCCCGGUAGUUGAAAUGGCUUUCCCUCCAGAGUGGAUCCUGAGUACGGCGGAACACGUGAAAUUCCGUCGGAAUCCGGGAGGACCAUCUCCCAAGGCUAAAUACUCCCUAGUGACCGAUAGUGAACCAGUACCGUGAGGGAAAGGUGAAAAGCACCCCGGAAGGGGAGUGAAACAGUUCCUGAAACCGUGUGCCUACAAGUAGUUAGAGCCCGUUAAUGGGUGAUAGCGUGCCUUUUGUAGAAUGAACCGGCGAGUUACGAUUUGUUGCAAGGUUAAGCGGAAAAAGCGGAGCCGUAGCGAAAGCGAGUCUGAAUAGGGCGCAUAAGUAACAGGUCGUAGACCCGAAACCAGGUGAUCUACCCAUGUCCAGGAUGAAGGUAAGGUAAUACUUACUGGAGGUCCGAACCCACGCACGUUGAAAAGUGCGGGGAUGAGGUGUGGGUAGCGGAGAAAUUCCAAUCGAACUUGGAGAUAGCUGGUUCUCUCCGAAAUAGCUUUAGGGCUAGCCUCGAGGUAAAGAGUCAUGGAGGUAGAGCACUGUUUGGACUAGGGGCCCUUCUCGGGUUACCGAAUUCAGAUAAACUCCGAAUGCCAUGUACUUAUACUCGGGAGUCAGACUGCGAGUGAUAAGAUCCGUAGUCGAAAGGGAAACAGCCCAGACCACCAGUUAAGGUCCCCAAAUAUAUGUUAAGUGGAAAAGGAUGUGGGGUUGCUUAGACAACCAGGAUGUUGGCUUAGAAGCAGCCACCAUUGAAAGAGUGCGUAAUAGCUCACUGGUCGAGUGACCCCGCGCCGAAAAUGUACCGGGGCUAAACAUAUUACCGAAACUGUGGAUGAACCUCUUCGGAGGUUCGUGGUAGGAGAGCGUUCUAAGGGCGGUGAAGUCAGACCGGAAGGACUGGUGGAGCGCUUAGAAGUGAGAAUGCCGGUAUGAGUAGCGAAAGAAGGGUGAGAAUCCCUUCCACCGAAUAUCUAAGGUUUCCUGAGGAAGGCUCGUCCGCUCAGGGUUAGUCGGGACCUAAGCCGAGGCCGAUAGGCGUAGGCGAUGGACAACAGGUAGAGAUUCCUGUACCAGUGCUAAUUGUUUAACCGAUGGGGUGACACAGAAGGAUAGGGAAUCGCACGAAUGGAAAUGUGCGUCCAAGCAGUGAGUGUGAGAAGUAGGCAAAUCCGCUUCUCGCGAAGCAUGAGCUGUGAUGGGGAAGGAAAUUAAGUACGGAAGUUCCUGAUUUCACGCUGUCAAGAAAAGCCUCUAGGAAGAGUAGUACUGCCCGUACCGCAAACCGACACAGGUAGAUGAGGAGAGAAUCCUAAGGUGAGCGAGAGAACUCUCGUUAAGGAACUCGGCAAAAUGACCCCGUAACUUCGGGAGAAGGGGUGCUCUAUUAGGGUGCAAGCCCGAGAGAGCCGCAGUGAAUAGGCCCAGGCGACUGUUUAGCAAAAACACAGGUCUCUGCAAAACCGUAAGGUGACGUAUAGGGGCUGACGCC